UACAGGGGGUGCAAACGUUGCUCGGAAUUAUUGGGCGUAAAGCGCGCGUAGGCGGCCACUUAAGUCGGAUGUGAAAGCCCCUGGCUCAACUGGGGAAGUGCACCCGAAACUGAGCGGCUUGAAUGCAAAAGAGGGUCGCGGAAUUCCCGGUGUAGAGGUGAAAUUCGUAGAUAUCGGGAGGAACACCAGUGGCGAAGGCGGCGACCUGGGCCAAUAUUGACGCUGAGGUGCGAAAGCGUGGGGAGCAAACAGG
This 253-nucleotide ribosomal RNA is filed under the name uncultured bacterium. Its description in RNAcentral is "partial 16S ribosomal RNA". It matches the Rfam family "Bacterial small subunit ribosomal RNA", at positions 524 to 776 of the family's 1533-position model. The record is from RNAcentral.